This 356-nucleotide transfer-messenger RNA is filed under the name Candidatus Omnitrophota. Its description in RNAcentral is "4484-171 sp002049895 Standard tmRNA". It matches the Rfam family "transfer-messenger RNA". From Rfam's summary of the family: Bacterial tmRNA, also known as 10Sa RNA or SsrA, is named for its dual tRNA and mRNA-like properties. Its role is to liberate the mRNA from a stalled ribosome. The record is from RNAcentral. RNAcentral also lists the same sequence under 2 other names. Lineage: Bacteria; Pseudomonadati.
GGGGGUGAAAGGGAUUCGACUCAGAGGAAGAGUGAAAAGCUGCAUGCCAGCGGGUUGGCCAGCUGUAAGAGGCCUUCAAAAUAUAGGUGCAAACGCCUAUGUAACCACUCCUGCUUACGCUUUAAGCUAAGCGGGGCUUUCAUGCUUUCCUGCCUCAGGGGAGCAUGAGGGUUCGGAAUUGAGGAUAGGAAUGAGUUCUUAACUCUGGGGGCUCAUUCUGAAAAUUUACAGAGAUGCUUUCUGGCGAAUCCUGCCUUUCGGAGCCGCCAGAAAAAAGAUUAAAAGAGAGGAUAAGCAUGUAGAUGCUUUUCGUGAGGCCUUUGAGGACGCGGGUUCGAUUCCCGCCACCUCCACCA